RNAcentral lists this ribosomal RNA (441 nucleotides) under uncultured bacterium. Its description in RNAcentral is "bacterial SSU rRNA". It matches the Rfam family "Bacterial small subunit ribosomal RNA", at positions 338 to 795 of the family's 1533-position model. The record is from RNAcentral.
CCUACGGGGGGCUGCAGUGAGGAAUUUUCGUCAAUGGGGGAAACCCUGAACGAGCAACGCCGCGUGCAGGAUGAAGGUUUUCGGAUCGUAAACUGCUUUUCUCUGGGACGAGAACGGACGGUACCAGAGGAAUAAGCCCCGGCUAACUACGUGCCAGCAGCCGCGGUAAUACGUAGGGGGCAAGCGUUGUCCGGAUUUAUUGGGCGUAAAGCGCGCGCAGGCGGUCUGCCAAGUUCGGAGUGACAGUUUCCGGCUUAACCGGAAAAGGUCUUCGAAAACUGGCGGACUUGAGGACUUGAGAGGGAGACGGAAUUCCGGGUGGAGCGGUGAAAUGCGUAGAGAUCCGGAGGAACACCGAAAGCGAAGGCAGUCUCCUGGCAAGUUUCUGACGCUCAGGUGCGAAAGCUAGGGGAGCGAACAGGAUUAGAUACCCCUGUAGUC